This 743-nucleotide ribosomal RNA is filed under the name uncultured bacterium. RNAcentral's name for it is "bacterial SSU rRNA". It matches the Rfam family "Bacterial small subunit ribosomal RNA", at positions 8 to 796 of the family's 1533-position model. The record is from RNAcentral.
AGAGUUUGAUCAUGGCUCAGAACGAACGCUGGCGGCAGGCUUAACACAUGCAAGUCGAACGCAUCCUUCGGGGUGAGUGGCAGACGGGUGAGUAACGCGUGGGAACGUGCCCUUCAGUUCGGAAUAACCCAGGGAAACUUGGGCUAAUACCGGAUACGUGCGAGAGCAGAAAGAUUUAUCGCUGAAGGAUCGGCCCGCGUCUGAUUAGCUAGUUGGUGAGGUAAUGGCUCACCAAGGCGACGAUCAGUAGCUGGUCUGAGAGGAUGAUCAGCCACAUUGGGACUGAGACACGGCCCAAACUCCUACGGGAGGCAGCAGUGGGGAAUAUUGGACAAUGGGCGCAAGCCUGAUCCAGCCAUGCCGCGUGAGUGAUGAAGGCCUUAGGGUUGUAAAGCUCUUUCGUCCGGGACGAUAAUGACGGUACCGGAAGAAGAAGCCCCGGCUAACUUCGUGCCAGCAGCCGCGGUAAUACGAAGGGGGCUAGCGUUGUUCGGAAUCACUGGGCGUAAAGGGCGCGUAGGCGGCUUGAUAAGUCGGGGGUGAAAAGCCUGUGGCUCAACCACAGAAUUGCCUUCGAUACUGUCUGGCUUGAGACCGGAAGAGGUAAGUGGAACUGCGAGUGUAGAGGUGAAAUUCGUAGAUAUUCGCAAGAACACCAGUGGCGAAGGCGGCUUACUGGUCCGGUUCUGACGCUGAGGCGCGAAAGCGUGGGGAGCAAACAGGAUUAGAUACCCUAGUAGUCC